CCUGAGGGUGCUAUACAUGCAGUCGAACGCGUUGGCCCAAUUGAUUGAUGGUGCUUGCACCUGAUUGAUUUUGGUCGCCAACGAGUGGCGGACGGGUGAGUAACACGUAGGUAACCUGCCCAGAAGCGGGGGACAACAUUUGGAAACAGAUGCUAAUACCGCAUAACAGCGUUGUUCGCAUGAACAACGCUUAAAAGAUGGCUUCUCGCUAUCACUUCUGGAUGGACCUGCGGUGCAUUAGCUUGUUGGUGGGGUAAUGGCCUACCAAGGCGAUGAUGCAUAGCCGAGUUGAGAGACUGAUCGGCCACAAUGGGACUGAGACACGGCCCAUACUCCUACGGGAGGCAGCAGUAGGGAAUCUUCCACAAUGGGCGCAAGCCUGAUGGAGCAACACCGCGUGAGUGAAGAAGGGUUUCGGCUCGUAAAGCUCUGUUGUUAAAGAAGAACACGUAUGAGAGUAACUGUUCAUACGUUGACGGUAUUUAACCAGAAAGUCACGGCUAACUACGUGCCAGCAGCCGCGGUAAUACGUAGGUGGCAAGCGUUAUCCGGAUUUAUUGGGCGUAAAGAGAGUGCAGGCGGUUUUCUAAGUCUGAUGUGAAAGCCUUCGGCUUAACCGGAGAAGUGCAUCGGAAACUGGAUAACUUGAGUGCAGAAGAGGGUAGUGGAACUCCAUGUGUAGCGGUGGAAUGCGUAGAUAUAUGGAAGAACACCAGUGGCGAAGGCGGCUACCUGGUCUGCAACUGACGCUGAGACUCGAAAGCAUGGGUAGCGAACAGGAUUAGAUACCCUGGUAGUCCAUGCCGUAAACGAUGAGUGCUAGGUGUUGGAGGGUUUCCGCCCUUCAGUGCCGGAGCUAACGCAUUAAGCACUCCGCCUGGGGAGUACGACCGCAAGGUUGAAACUCAAAGGAAUUGACGGGGGCCCGCACAAGCGGUGGAGCAUGUGGUUUAAUUCGAAGCUACGCGAAGAACCUUACCAGGUCUUGACAUCUUGCGCCAACCCUAGAGAUAGGGCGUUUCCUUCGGGAACGCAAUGACAGGUGGUGCAUGGUCGUCGUCAGCUCGUGUCGUGAGAUGUUGGGUUAAGUCCCGCAACGAGCGCAACCCUUGUUACUAGUUGCCAGCAUUAAGUUGGGCACUCUAGUGAGACUGCCGGUGACAAACCGGAGGAAGGUGGGGACGACGUCAGAUCAUCAUGCCCCUUAUGACCUGGGCUACACACGUGCUACAAUGGACGGUACAACGAGUCGCGAACUCGCGAGGGCAAGCAAAUCUCUUAAAACCGUUCUCAGUUCGGACUGCAGGCUGCAACUCGCCUGCACGAAGUCGGAAUCGCUAGUAAUCGCGGAUCAGCAUGCCGCGGUGAAUACGUUCCCGGGCCUUGUACACACCGCCCGUCACACCAUGAGAGUUUGUAACACCCAAAGUCGGUGGGGUAACCUUUUAGGAGCCAGCCGCUAAGUGACAGAUG
RNAcentral lists this ribosomal RNA (1473 nucleotides) under Limosilactobacillus fermentum. RNAcentral describes it as "bacterial SSU rRNA". It matches the Rfam family "Bacterial small subunit ribosomal RNA". The record is from RNAcentral. Lineage: Bacteria; Bacillati; Bacillota; Bacilli; Lactobacillales; Lactobacillaceae.